GCAAUGGGGGAAACCCUGACGCAGCGACGCCGCGUGGAUGAUGAAGGCUUUCGGGUCGUAAAAUCCUGUCAGAUGGAAAGAAAUGUAAUCCUGCUAAUACCAUGAUUACUUGACGGUACCAUCAGAGGAAGCACCGGCUAACUCCGUGCCAGCAGCCGCGGUAAUACGGAGGGUGCAAGCGUUGUUCGGAAUUACUGGGCGUAAAGGACGCGUAGGCGGGUUGGAAAGUCAGGUGUGAAAUCCUACAGCUUAACUGUAGAACUGCACUUGAAACUUCUAAUCUAGAGUAUGGGAGGGGGAGAUGGAAUUAGUGGUGUAGGGGUAAAAUCCGUAGAGAUCAGAAGGAAUACCGAUUGCGAAGGCGAUCUACUAGAACAUUAUUGACGCUGAGACGCGAAAGCGUGGGGAGCAAACAGGAUUAGAUACCCCAGUAGUC
RNAcentral lists this ribosomal RNA (436 nucleotides) under uncultured bacterium. RNAcentral's name for it is "partial 16S ribosomal RNA". It matches the Rfam family "Bacterial small subunit ribosomal RNA", at positions 368 to 795 of the family's 1533-position model. The record is from RNAcentral.